This is a non-coding RNA of Besnoitia besnoiti, 73 nucleotides long. The record is from the annotation of a RefSeq genome assembly. Lineage: Eukaryota; Apicomplexa; Conoidasida; Eucoccidiorida; Sarcocystidae.
GUAAAUGAAGUUAAAUGGUUUUAACAUUGGAUUGUGAUUCCAACUUUAGCAAGUUCGAUUCUUGUCAUUUACC